GUUUGAUCCUGGCUCAGGAUGAACGCUAGCGGCAGGCUUAACACAUGCAAGUCGAGGGGUAUAGUUCUUCGGAAUUAGAGACCGGCGCACGGGUGCGUAACGCGUAUGCAAUCUACCUUUCACAGAGGGAUAGCCCAGAGAAAUUUGGAUUAAUACCUCAUAGUAUAUAGACCUGGCAUCAGGAUUAUAUUAAAGUCACAACGGUGAAAGAUGAGCAUGCGUCCCAUUAGCUAGUUGGUAAGGUAACGGCUUACCAAGGCUACGAUGGGUAGGGGUCCUGAGAGGGAGAUCCCCCACACUGGUACUGAGACACGGACCAGACUCCUACGGGAGGCAGCAGUGAGGAAUAUUGGACAAUGGGCGCAAGCCUGAUCCAGCCAUGCCGCGUGCAGGAUGACGGUCCUAUGGAUUGUAAACUGCUUUUGCACAGGAAGAAACAACUCUACGUGUAGAGUCUUGACGGUACUGUGAGAAUAAGGAUCGGCUAACUCCGUGCCAGCAGCCGCGGUAAUACGGAGGAUCCAAGCGUUAUCCGGAAUCAUUGGGUUUAAAGGGUCCGUAGGCGGUUUAGUAAGUCAGUGGUGAAAGCCCAUCGCUCAACGGUGGAACGGCCAUUGAUACUGCUAGACUUGAAUUAUUAGGAAGUAACUAGAAUAUGUAGUGUAGCGGUGAAAUGCUUAGAGAUUACAUGGAAUACCAAUUGCGAAGGCAGGUUACUACUAAUGGAUUGACGCUGAUGGACGAAAGCGUGGGUAGCGAACAGGAUUAGAUACCCUGGUAGUCCACGCCGUAAACAAUGGAUACUAGCUGUUGGGCGCAAGUUCAGUGGCUAAGCGAAAGUGAUAAGUAUCCCCACCUGGGGAGUACGUUCGCAGAAUGAAACUCAAAGGAAUUGACG
RNAcentral lists this ribosomal RNA (898 nucleotides) under uncultured bacterium. RNAcentral describes it as "bacterial SSU rRNA". It matches the Rfam family "Bacterial small subunit ribosomal RNA", at positions 11 to 915 of the family's 1533-position model. The record is from RNAcentral.